GGGGGAAUUGUGCACAAUGGGUGAAACCCUGAUGCAGCGACGCCGCGUGAUUUAGAAGGCCUUCGGGUUGUAAAAAUCUUUUCUAUGGGAAGAAAAUGACAGUACCAUAGGAAUAAGGACCGGCUAAUUACGUGCCAGCAGCCGCGGUAAUACGUAAGGUCCGAGCGUUGUCCGGAAUCAUUGGGCGUAAAGGGUACGUAGGCGGGUAAACAAGUUAGAAGUGAAAUCCUAUAGCUCAACUAUAGUAAGCUUUUAAAACUGCUCAUCUUGAGGUAUGGAAGGGAAGGUGGAAUUCCUAGUGUAGCGGUGAAAUGCGCAGAUAUUAGGAGGAAGACCAGUGGCGAAGGCGACUUUCUGGCCAUAACCUGACGCUGAGGUACGAAAGCGUGAGUAGCAAACAGG
RNAcentral lists this ribosomal RNA (402 nucleotides) under bacterium. RNAcentral describes it as "partial 16S ribosomal RNA". It matches the Rfam family "Bacterial small subunit ribosomal RNA", at positions 355 to 776 of the family's 1533-position model. The record is from RNAcentral.